AGGGUUGUAGUUAAUUAAUAACAUUUGAUUUGCAUUCAAAAAAUACUAUUUAUUUAGUCUACCUUG
This 66-nucleotide transfer RNA is filed under the name Meromyza saltatrix. RNAcentral's name for it is "tRNA-Ala". It matches the Rfam family "tRNA". From Rfam's summary of the family: Transfer RNA (tRNA) molecules are approximately 80 nucleotides in length. Their secondary structure includes four short double-helical elements and three loops (D, anti-codon, and T loops). The record is from RNAcentral. Lineage: Eukaryota; Metazoa; Arthropoda; Insecta; Diptera; Chloropidae.